GAGUUUGAUCUUGGCUCAGAUUGAACGCUGGCGGCAUGCCUUACACAUGCAAGUCGAACGGUAACAGGUCUUCGGAUGCUGACGAGUGGCGAACGGGUGAGUAAUACAUCGGAACGUGCCCGAUCGUGGGGGGAUAACGGAGCGAAAGCUUUGCUAAUACCGCAUACGAUCUACGGAUGAAAGCAGGGGACCGCAAGGCCUUGCGCGGACGGAGCGGCCGAUGGCAGAUUAGGUAGUUGGUGGGAUAAAAGCUUACCAAGCCGACGAUCUGUAGCUGGUCUGAGAGGACGACCAGCCACACUGGGACUGAGACACGGCCCAGACUCCUACGGGAGGCAGCAGUGGGGAAUUUUGGACAAUGGGCGAAAGCCUGAUCCAGCCAUGCCGCGUGCAGGAUGAAGGCCUCGG
Molecule: ribosomal RNA, 408 nt
Filed under: uncultured microorganism
Description: bacterial SSU rRNA
Rfam family: Bacterial small subunit ribosomal RNA
Source: RNAcentral